Molecule: long non-coding RNA, 530 nt
Filed under: Pongo abelii (Sumatran orangutan)
Lineage: Eukaryota; Metazoa; Chordata; Mammalia; Primates; Hominidae
Description: lincRNA
Source: RNAcentral
UUCGGGCCGCCGCCUGCAGGUCUCGCUCCUGCCAGCCAAGGACUCGAGAAGGAGGGAGUCCCCAGUCCCGGCGGGGCGCCUGGGAUUCGCUUCAAUAUUUAGCACAGUCAAUACCGAAGCAGGGGCAGCCAGGUGGGAGCUGGGCGCCCCAAAGGUGGACCCCAGUCAGCAGCGAGUGGGCAGCGGGGGCCUGGCUCGCCCGCGCCCUGGAGCUCUCUGGCCGGCUCUCCCGGGCCGCAAGCAGGCACGGAAUUUGACGCCCGAGAGGCAGAUGGUCCUGGCUAGGACUCCUGAUUCUUCUCAGAUGGAAACAGUUUCUCCCGGUGAACCUGCCGGAAUUCUCAGUGGACUCGCACUUCAGCUUUUCCCACUGGCGCAUUUCACCAAGGCCGCAUUUACCGCUUUGAUGCAAAUUUGAGCUUCAAAUGGAGCGGGACUCCUGGUUGCAGAACGAGGGUGUGGGAAUGCGCAUCUGCAAGACCAGGGGAUGCAGAGCUUGCGGGAAGGAGGAAACUCACUAGGUUCAGGCU